AUUGAACGCUGGCGGCAUGCCUUACACAUGCAAGUCGAACGGCAGCACGGGAGCAAUCCUGGUGGCGAGUGGCGAACGGGUGAGUAAUAUAUCGGAACGUGCCCAGUCGUGGGGGAUAACGUAGCGAAAGCUACGCUAAUACCGCAUACGAUCUAUGGAUGAAAGCGGGGGAUCGCAAGACCUCGCGCGAUUGGAGCGGCCGAUAUCAGAUUAGGUAGUUGGUGAGGUAAAGGCUCACCAAGCCGACGAUCUGUAGCUGGUCUGAGAGGACGACCAGCCACACUGGGACUGAGACACGGCCCAGACUCCUACGGGAGGCAGCAGUGGGGAAUUUUUGGACAAUGGGCGCAAGCCUGAUCCAGCAAUGCCGCGUGCAGGAUGAAGGCCUCGGUUGUAACGUAGACUUUGUACGGUAACGAAACGGUAGGAGACGUCUAAU
RNAcentral lists this ribosomal RNA (439 nucleotides) under uncultured bacterium. Its description in RNAcentral is "bacterial SSU rRNA". It matches the Rfam family "Bacterial small subunit ribosomal RNA", at positions 30 to 468 of the family's 1533-position model. The record is from RNAcentral.